Pelobates cultripes (western spadefoot toad) is the source of this 206-nucleotide non-coding RNA. The record is from the annotation of a GenBank genome assembly. NCBI's taxonomy places the organism in Eukaryota, Metazoa, Chordata, Amphibia, Anura, Pelobatidae.
GUCCAAGCCAUCCAUUCUAGCCUCUUGAUUAACUAGGAGCUGUGGUAUGUCAGCAGGUUCCAUUAUGGCCCUGUUGUAAUGUCACGAUUCGGGGAACCCAACACGCUGGCACACACACACAUACACAAAAGGUGCCGUACCGGACCUUAGAGUGGCCGGGCUAAGCACACACAGAAUAGUCAGGAGACAAGCCGAGUAAGGGAAAC